This 265-nucleotide ribosomal RNA is filed under the name uncultured bacterium. RNAcentral's name for it is "partial 16S ribosomal RNA". It matches the Rfam family "Bacterial small subunit ribosomal RNA", at positions 57 to 305 of the family's 1533-position model. The record is from RNAcentral.
GCAAGUCGAACGGACCCUUUAACUUGAAGCCUCGGUGGAUUGUUAAAGGUAGUCAGUGGCAGACGGGUGAGUAAUGCAUAGGUAACAUGCCCCUUAGUUCGGGAUAACAUCGUGAAAAUGGUGCUAAUACCGGAUACUCUCGUUUUUUCGCAUGAUUAAACGAGGAAAGUUUUUUCGCUAAGGGAUUGGCCUAUGUCUGAUUAGUUUGUUGGUGGGGUAAUGGCCUACCAAGACUGCGAUCAGUAGCUGGUCUGAGAGGAUGAUC